Molecule: transfer RNA, 94 nt
Filed under: Cellulomonas phragmiteti
Lineage: Bacteria; Bacillati; Actinomycetota; Actinomycetes; Micrococcales; Cellulomonadaceae
Description: tRNA-Pro
Source: RNAcentral
GUCCCGCGUGCUGCGCGUGCCGCGCGGCGACGCGGGGCGCGUCGAGGUGUGGGGCCGCACCGUGCCGGGCCGGUUCGGGCUCGCCGCGGGCUUC